This is an RNA transcript of Drosophila biarmipes, 3074 nucleotides long. It is a transcript of the gene named protein amalgam, with no coding region annotated. The transcript is spliced from 11 exons. Lineage: Eukaryota; Metazoa; Arthropoda; Insecta; Diptera; Drosophilidae. The record is from RefSeq and is a predicted model, not a curated record.
UGAAAUUAAUGAAAUAAAUACACGGGAUUAUACUUACUAUUGUAAAAUUACCGAAAGCUGACGCCAAAAUAAUAAAAAAGAAAAAUUUAAAUAAAAGUGAUAACAUACAAGAUGGUUAAAUUAUUUUAGUUCAAAGUAGGUUUUUUUUUAUAAAAUAAUUCUGGCAAAACAAACAAUUACAAUUGAUCUUCCCUUGAUACACCGGUAAAGGCAAUACAAAAUACGAGUCUUAACAUAACAUUAUACAUUUUUUUAAGUAUUGCGAUACUUCUUACGAAAAAGCUUAAUGGACCCAUGGAGUAAACAACAAUUAAAAUUUGGAAUCACUUUCAAUACAAGGAAGUUUGAAGAGAUACAUGUUGUACCUGAAUGUUAUUAAAUCCAUAGAAUUAAAAAUAUUCAUUAAAAAGACUACUGUCAUGUUUCUAUUAACAUUGCGCCAAGGAAUAAUAGCUUACAGCAUUGUUUUGCUACUUAGCGAAGCAAUACGCAUUAUAGAAAGUAGCUCCGUACUUUAUAUACAUGGUAACAGCGAGUCAGAUGAAAUAAGUCCAUCUUUUUUGGCGAAGUUGAAUAACAUUACAAUACCAAUAGGACGUGACAUAUCAUUCACCUGUGUUGUUGACAAUUUGGGCCAAUAUCGGGUGGCAUGGAUUAAAUCUGAUUCAAAAGCAAUACUUGGUAUACACACACACAUGGUCUCAUUAAAUCCAAGAUUUUCGGUGACACAUAACGGCCACAAUACGUGGAAACUUCACAUAUCACGCGUGCAGCUAAAUGACUCCGGCAGCUACAUGUGCCAAGUUAAUACUGAUCCUAUGAAGAGCCUCUCUGGAUACCUAGAUGUAGUUGUGCCACCAGAUAUUUUAAACCAACCAGAACAUAAUCCUCAGGAAGGUGUCAGCACCGAGGGUGGAAGUGUUUCGCUUGUAUGCAGCGCGACAGGUGUUCCAAAACCAAGGGUCCAAUGGAGACGUGAAGCGGGAAAGGAAAUUAUUCUUCGCGCAGAAAGCAGAGAUAAACAAGUUCUAAAGUCCGUGGAGGGAGAAAGACUUGUAUUGACUAAUGUACAUCGAACUGAUAUGGGUGGCUACAACUGCAUUGCAUCUAAUGGAAUACCACCGUCAGUUAGCAAACGAUUUGACGUUUACGUGAACUUUUCUCCAACAAUUAAAGCAAUUAAUCAGUUGGUUGGAGCACCCGUGGAAAGAGAAGUUACAUUGGAAUGUAUUGUGGAAGUUUAUCCCAAACCUCUUAAUGGCUGGUAUCGUAACGAAGAGAAUAUAAAACUACAUAAUGGGAACAAAUAUAAUAUUUCAGAGGAAAUGAUUAACUUGUAUACAUGGCACCUCAACCUUACUAUAAGACGUCUCACUAAAUCGGACUUCGGAACUUACAGUUGUUCAAGUGUUAAUGGGCAAGGCAAAAGUGAAGCACGCAUUAGAUUGCAAGAGUUACGAUUACCACCCAAACCGACCACCACACCUCUACCUCACGUGCACACAACUGUCAAACCGCAUCGGAAGCAGCCCCCUGGUCACAACAAGGGGCUGAACGAAGUAGUGCGUGCAAAGGAAACCCAUUUUUUAAAUCAAAUGCAACAGGAGAAUUCUAUACAUAGUGGUGGAAUCGGUGUGCUGCAGAGCGCAAGCAGUGAUAAUUCUGGUAGCGCAAGUCGUGCAAAUUAUGGUGCAGCUUUAGAAAGCGGAAACGUCAACGAUGGCAUGAUAAACGGAGCAGAAGUACAUACGGAUUUACCCCUGCGUAACGUAUAUCAAAUAACUUACAGGCCGCCUGGACCCAUACCAUCGCCUCAUACCCCUCAAAUAAUUAGAAAUGCAGGCUCACGGCUGCAUGCUUUGUCUACGAUCGCGUCAGUGGCGUUAGUGAUAUUUUUAUGGAAAUUAUUCUUGGAUACAAAAACAACAUUUUAAAAGUUUGGACCCAAUUAGCUCUCAAAGUAUUUAAAAAGUUUCAAGUAGAGCACAUCGAAGCUACAAAUCAGCAUGCGAAGCAACGGUUCAGUUUUGUAUUUGUUUUUGAAGGAUUUAAAUCUAGAAGCGACGCCAAUGCUAACAUACAAGUUUAAAAACUAAUCUAAAUUAACCACAUGGCUCUCAAGGACACAUGCUGGAAGCAUUUAUAUUAAUGUUAUAUAUUGAAUUCAUAUUUUAGUUUUGGACUUAAUAUAUUUAAACCAAUUUCUGAACGGUUUGAAAAUAAAUCCGCUUAUGUAUAUACAGAAGUAUUAAAAAAUAUUAUUUUUAUCAUCACAAUAACACUUCCAAAAUGCUUUACAAAUGCCACUUUGGUUUUCUAGUAAGAAUAAGUUUCCUUAUGCAACGGGUAUAAAAUCUCCGACACCAAUGUGCAUAAAGUUAUGCUUUCAUCAAGGGCAACGAAAGAAAUCAAUCAUCAUUAUUUUGGUAUAUGCCCUCUAUGAUUUUAAUUUUUAAUAGAUUUCUAUUUUGCAGUUUUGUGGUCGAAAAAACGAAAACUAGAAUUUUUUUGCAGGGCUUUUAUCAAACUACAAUUCUACACGUUUUUCCUUCAUUUAAAAAACGAAAGCAUGUAGCACAAAAUGUUUGGUAAUUACUUUUUUAUAGAUAAGCUGAAGUCUAAGGCCUGAAGAAUAAUACUGUUGUGCUAUUUACUAAGAAAAUAUUAUCACAAAUAUUUUUUUAGGGACACAUCACAAAUGAAAAAUUAAGGUGUCAAGUUGAUUGGUAUUACUUUUAAGCAUAAAUAAAAUUAUUCUAUACACAUUAAGAACCAUAACAUAUAUUAAAAUUUGGAGCUUGUUCGCUCAUAUUAUAUAUUCUACAGUAAUCAAAUACUAAUGCAAUGCAUAAAUGUCUUCCGAUAAAAUGCAAAUAUUUUAUGAUUAUCGUUAAGUAUAAACAUAAACAUGUUGAAAUAUAACAAUUUAAGCCUGAAUUACGUUUUCCUAACGCUAAAUUUUUGUAUUAAUAAAUAAAAAAAGAAACUUAUAAGCUCAGAAUCUGAUUGUAUUUAAAUGAUUUGUAUACCCUUGCAGAGGGUAUAAUAAAUGUCAAUCAAAAGAGUGCAACGCA